UAAAAAAAGGUAAGCUACUAAGAGCGAAUGGUGGAUGCCUUGACUGGUAAAGGCGAUGAAGGACGUACUAGACUGCGAUAAGCUACGGGGAGCUGUCAAGAAGCUUUGAUCCGUAGAUUUCCGAAUGGGGCAACCCAAUGUAUAGAGAUAUACAUUACCUAUAUAGGAGCGAACGAGGGGAAUUGAAACAUCUUAGUACCCUCAGGAAAAGAAAUCAAUAGAGAUUGCGUCAGUAGCGGCGAGCGAAAGCGCAAGAGGGCAAACCCAGUGCUUGCACUGGGGGUUGUAGGACUGCAAUGUGCAAGAGGUAAGUUUAGCAGAACAUUCUGGAAAGUAUAACCAUAGAGGGUGAUAGUCCCGUAUGCGAAAAACAAACCUUAGCUAGCAGUAUCCUGAGUAGGGCGGGACACGAGGAAUCCUGUCUGAAUCCGGGUCGACCACGAUCCAACCCUAAAUACUAAUACCAGAUCGAUAGUGCACAAGUACCGUGAGGGAAAGGUGAAAAGAACUGAGGUGAUCAGAGUGAAAUAGAACCUGAAACCAUUUGCUUACAAUCAUUCAGAGCCCUAUGUAGCAAUACAGGGUGAUGGACUGCCUUUUGCAUAAUGAGCCUGCGAGUUGUGGUGUCUGGCAAGGUUAAGCAAACGCGAAGCCGUAGCGAAAGCGAGUCUGAAUAGGGCGCUUAGUCAGAUGCUGCAGACCCGAAACGAAGUGAUCUAUCCAUGAGCAAGUUGAAGCUAGUGUAAGAACUAGUGGAGGACUGAACCCAUAGGCGUUGAAAAGCCCCGGGAUGACUUGUGGAUAGGGGUGAAAGGCCAAUCAAACUUCGUGAUAGCUGGUUCUCUCCGAAAUAUAUUUAGGUAUAGCGUUGUGUCGUAAUAUAAGGGGGUAGAGCACUGAAUGGGCUAGGGCAUACACCAAUGUACCAAACCCUAUCAAACUCCGAAUACCUUAUAUGUAAUCACAGCAGUCAGGCGGCGAGUGAUAAAAUCCGUCGUCAAGAGGGAAACAACCCAGACUACCAGCUAAGGUCCCUAAAUCUUACUUAAGUGGAAAACGAUGUGAAGUUACUUAAACAACCAGGAGGUUGGCUUAGAAGCAGCCAUCCUUUAAAGAAAGCGUAAUAGCUCACUGGUCUAGUGAUUUUGCGCGGAAAAUAUAACGGGGCUAAAGUAAGUACCGAAGCUGUAGACUUAGUUUAC
This 1202-nucleotide ribosomal RNA is filed under the name Campylobacter jejuni. RNAcentral describes it as "partial 23S ribosomal RNA". It matches the Rfam family "Bacterial large subunit ribosomal RNA", at positions 1 to 1216 of the family's 2925-position model. Lineage: Bacteria; Pseudomonadati; Campylobacterota; Epsilonproteobacteria; Campylobacterales; Campylobacteraceae. The record is from RNAcentral.